This 460-nucleotide ribosomal RNA is filed under the name uncultured bacterium. RNAcentral describes it as "partial 16S ribosomal RNA". It matches the Rfam family "Bacterial small subunit ribosomal RNA", at positions 338 to 795 of the family's 1533-position model. The record is from RNAcentral.
CCUACGGGCGACAGCAGUGAGGAAUAUUGGUCAAUGGGUGCGAGCCUGAACCAGCCAAGUCGCGUGAGGGAGGACGGCCCUCCGGGUUGUAAACCUCUUUUGCCGGGGAGCAACGGGCGUCACGUGUGGCGCCACUGAGAGUACCCGGAGAAAAAGCAUCGGCUAACUCCGUGCCAGCAGCCGCGGUAAUACGGGGGAUGCGAGCGUUAUCCGGCGUUAUUGGGUUUAAGGGGUGCGUAGGCGGAUCGUUAAGUCAGUGGUCAAAUUGAGGGGCUCAACCCCUUCCCGCCAUUGAAACUGGCGUUCUUGAGUGGAAGAGAAGUAUGCGGAAUGCGUGGUGUAGCGGUGAAAUGCAUAGAUAUCACGCAGAACCCCGAUUGCGAAGGCAGCAUGCCGGCUUCCGACUGACGCGGAAGCACGAAAGCGUGGGGAUCGAACAGGAUUAGAUACCCUAGUAGUC